UUUAUCUCUCCCGGCUCCUAACCAUCGCAUCUCUCUAUGUCGCCCUUUUUCUCGAACCACUCAUAUUCUCUAGCCCUCCUGACGUGGUGGCAAUGCAGUUUUCUCCUCCCCUUCGUCCCCUAGUCUCCUCUACGGCUGCAUCUUGACCUGUAGAAAUCAUAGGUGAUCGAAGCUUUGAAGGAGAAAUGAUGAUGGUUAUGGUUGUGCUAUCAGCUAGAACUGUUUUACGGCAAUACUUUCUGGAUAUGCUCGCAUCAUUCAGAAGCUUGGUUUUCUUGCAAAAUUCAAGGUACCUGUUCUGUUCUUGUGUCUUGUGCGUGAUUCCAUGCUUUGAUAAUUGUCACUGUCAGGACUUCAAGAUUCAGAAUAUUGCUGUAUCUUGUGAUGUCAAAUUCCCAAAAGCACCACACAAUCGAUCAAAUAAUUUCAUUGCUCUUUGAUUGUUGUUGUGUUUUAUCAUGUCUGACUGUGCAUGUUUUCACCCUAGUUGCUCUUGGCUUAUUGUUGUGGGAUUUUGUUCCUGUCGUUAUGAUGUUGCCCUUUGUAUGUGCUCCUAUCAUCAGUAUAGCGACAAUUGAUUUCACCACAUAUUGUUUCUGUGUCAAUGAUGUCUCAUGUAGAAUGAAAUGGAACAGUAGAGAGUCGAAUCAACAAUUUUAUUGCAGUGUCUGUUUUCUAUAUCAGUGAUAUCUAAAGAUGUAUGCAUCUGAUCUAGGUAGCUAGUAAUCCAACAGUAAUAGAAGGAAUCAGAGGAGUAGGGGCAACGGAUGUGUGUGAUCAAUGAUUUCUUUUUUGCUACUGGUGCGUGACCCAUCGCUUUUUUGCUAAAGGGAGGCAGUGGAACGAUUUCUUGUUUUUUCUUCGUUUUUAGUAGUUAUUAUUAUUUUUUUUUUUGUUGACAUCCCCCUCUCCAAGUUGAUCACUCUUUUGUGGGCUUUUUGUUGGGCCCAUGGGUACGAUGCCGAUGUCGUGCUGAAACAUUAGACGAAGCUAACCAAAAGAACAAGAGCUCAUAGGUCUUCCAUUUUUUAGGACCCGAGGCCCAAAGUUUGUCCAGCCCAUAAUCUCUCGAACAUAUACCGGACCUUCUUUUUUUCACCCAUUUGUUACCGGGUUCAUGGGUUUUUUUAUGCUACUCUGAAUCUACAACAUGGCAGCAGCUGGUUGGUCCAGAAUCUGAUAGAUUUGCUAAGCAAAAUUUGUCGCAGACAACUAGACAAACCCAAUAAUCAAAUCGGCUGCUGUGGCUAGCGAUUCCCAUGACAGCGGGAUCAUGAGGCUGACAAUUGAGUCGUGGCGGCUCACGGUGCUGCUGGAGUCGAGGAGGCCGACGGCGAUGGCAUCCCUGCCUAACCCCCCCCCCUCCCCUCCCCUCCCGCCGCCCUUCAUCCGCGGGAAUCGGUGUGGCUCUCUCUAUUCUCUCUCUCUGAGUUGAGGAUUGGGCGUUCGAUGCAGGAGGCUGGGCUCGGCGCCACCAAAACAGACACCCAUGCACCAGAUCGGGACAGGGGUGUUGGAGAGGUGCCCAGAUCCUGCGAAGACAAAAGAGCUGCGCUGCAGAAAUUGAGCAGCUGGCGUCAAUUUGAAGAUGGAGAGCACAAGUAAAAGGAGUCGGAGGAAAAUAGAAAACUGCACUGAAAGGGGUGAGUCUCGCAAUGCUGUUGAUUUCGUUGAUUGAGGAGGGAUUCAUACUGAAUUUUUUCGAGUUCCCGGUGAGAUCAAAAGUUUAGUUUUAGUAUUUGAUUUGCCCAUAGUUUGCUUGUUUGAGACUUACCUGAAUCUCCUCUGUAAUAGCAGGACUUGAAUGUGCUCCUCCUAGUAGCGCUUAGCCUGCUUGUUACCUCACUUGAGAUCCACUGAAAAUUGCACGAUUUGUUGGAAGAGCUCAGCAUCCC
This is a long non-coding RNA of Phragmites australis (common reed), 1895 nucleotides long. RefSeq lists it as uncharacterized. NCBI's taxonomy places the organism in Eukaryota, Viridiplantae, Streptophyta, Magnoliopsida, Poales, Poaceae. The transcript is spliced from 3 exons. The record is from RefSeq and is a predicted model, not a curated record.